Molecule: ribosomal RNA, 142 nt
Filed under: uncultured Alphaproteobacteria bacterium
Lineage: Bacteria; Pseudomonadati; Pseudomonadota; Alphaproteobacteria
Description: partial 16S ribosomal RNA
Rfam family: Bacterial small subunit ribosomal RNA
Source: RNAcentral
AGCGUUGUUCGGAAUUACUGGGCGUAAAGCGCACGUAGGCGGAUUGUUUAGUGAGGGGUGAAAUCCCAGGGCUCAACCCUGGAACUGCCUCUCAUACUGGCAAUCUUGAGUUCGAGAGAGGUGAGUGGAAUUCCGAGCGUAG